Molecule: transfer RNA, 77 nt
Filed under: Candidatus Cloacimonadota bacterium
Lineage: Bacteria; Pseudomonadati; Candidatus Cloacimonadota
Description: tRNA-Arg
Rfam family: tRNA
About the family: Transfer RNA (tRNA) molecules are approximately 80 nucleotides in length.
Source: RNAcentral
GCGCCCUUAGCUCAACUGGAUAGAGCAUUUGACUACGGAUCAAAAGGUUAGGGGUUCGACUCCCUUAGGGCGUGCCA